UUUCGCCACAACAAUUGGAAGCACUUUGAUUAAAGUCCUAGGCAAAUAGAAGACUCAAAACUCCCUGACCAUGAGAUUGAUGACCGGAAAACAUUAAAAAAAAAUCCCAUAGAAUUGCAGGGCCAUGGAAACAUGGAGUGAAGGUCUCUACAAAUGAAAUUCAAAUCAGAGCCUGUUAAAUUAGAACUGUUUUGACUCAGUUAGACUUGACAUGUUCCUGAACAACAUUAUAGCCUUCACUUGUCUCACCAUAAUCCUGCAAACCAGCAAGGGAAAAAAUGUUAGCCCUAAAGACGACAAUCCAGUACAAACAUGCAAUACCUUAAAGGACUCACACCUUCACAACAACGCAGGAGCAGCCACAACCUUCCUGGCCUUGCCCUCAGAAUCAAUCUUGCAUAACUGCAUGAAGGGACCCAGGGAACAAAGCAGUACCAGUAAAUAAACGUUAUGGUUUUGUGACAAAAAAUCAUUUAAUAGAAAUACAUAAGCAAGUUUUCACAGGAAAAAAAUGGUAACAUGAUCUGCAAUAAGCCAAUAUCUAUUAAUUCAAUACAAAACAACAAGCUGUUUUACUCUUUUGACCUAGCUAACAAUAACUCCAUCACUGGCAAGAAAAACAUGAUGUGCUACAGAAAAUAGAUGAGGAAAAAAAGGCACUAUACCAAAGUUUUACAUCUAAGCUAUAUGUGGACUAAAAACAUUAAUGAUUCAUAUAAAAAAGCUAAUUAAAAAGAACUUACUCCAGCCCACUCGCCAAGGGUCUUAGCACUGGGAACCGUCAAUAAGCCUACACCAUGAUCAGCACAGAGUGCUUUAACGAGUUUGACAUAGUCUGGCUGGUUGCAGUCCUCUGCCAAUACACAGAGCUGGGCAGCAUGCUUCUCAAUCACUUUAGCACCUUCAUGGAGGCCCCGGGCAAGUCCACCAUGAGCUAGACUCUUUUUCAGAACAAGCUGUAAUGCUGUCAUCAAGUCCAUGGCCUCAAGAGGCUGAGCAGGAGCAGGAGUCUCAGCAGGAGCGGGAGUCUCUUCACUGCAAAGAUGAGGAGAUCCAAAUACAAUAAACAAUGAUGGCACAAACCAUCAUUUCCAGUUCAAGAAUCAAACAACAAAAACCCCACAUCAAAUAAAUACGAUAGAUACUUUCUGUUUUUUGAUUUUGGGGAAGGAAGAGGAUGCAAAAUGCACCACCUUUAAGUGGGUCAUAAGUAACAAUCUAUAAUACAUUUUGAUUGGUGCAUCAAAAUUCGCAUCAAAGGCCUUUCUAGCAAAAUACGAUAGUUAGCACAUUGUCCUUUCUAUCACUAGUUUUUUUCUUGAAAAAAAAGUGUCAAAGGCCUCUGGCAAACGCCUAGCAUUCAAAGACUUGAAAUCAUUGAAUGGAAGCUCAAAAAUUCCAAGAAAUCAAGAUGCACUUGCAAGAUGAUGGGUUGAAACGUGCCUAAACUCUAGGCAUAAAAACCAUUCGCAAUUCUUAAGAGAAAUAAAUCAAUUCACCAUGUCAACAAUCACCACAAGUAACAGCAAGAAGAAAAAGAAGAAGAAGCGCCUAGCAUAUCAAAUGUGCAACAGCAUUAUGACCAAUAAGAAAAACCCAAAAUCGGAGACUACAAACUAACCUCUAACAGCAUGGGUUAAACACAUAAUAAUAGCUAGUAAAACUGGAAAUCACAAACAAACACGGGUUAAAAUUAUAAUUUAUCAAAACAGUUACAUACCCUGACAUUUUGGGAUUUGUUGAUAAUUUUAGAAUCUCCUUACUGCAAAACCACAACAAAGCCAAAACAGAAAAUCAGUACUCAAACAAUACUGAUCGACUACAAACAGGACAGGCCAAGUUCAAAUUUUGAUAACAUUAACUAACUGAAACUGAAGAUGGCUUGAAGCAAGAGAAAGAGGACAAAGACCUUUGCAAGUGAAGGUAGGCCUCCUGCUGCUUGUGUGCCUGCGAAGCAAAUAGGAGGGUCGCGAAGGAAGACGAUAAAAAAAGGAGGGCAAAAACCCUAAAUUUCUAAGCGACCUUCUUGUCCUUCAAUUCCUUGUCCUAGGCCCUAAGGUCCAAUAUCCAGCCGGGCCUCGAUAAAAUUGAAAUCGAAAAGAGCUCGGUCCAACGGAAAUAUUUAAUUCCUUUUCUUUUCUUUAACGAAUAAGAAAUCUUAUUUUAUUAGUUAUUAUUUUUAAAUGCAAUUUCUAUUCAUUGAAUGCAUGGAUUUUAUUAAAUUAUUUAUUUUAUGAUCAUGUUGAAAAUAAUAAGAGCCGAUUUCCCCACCUAGACACCAAUGGGCUUAUCAUAUUCUUGUUAUGUAAUUUGGUGUUGGUUCCGUCACCGUUCGAGCAAGGUAGCAGGCUGGGCUAAACCUGUUAUCUUUUCAAUUGACAUUGGAACAUGCCUGUUUCUAAAAGCUGGUACCAUCUAGCACCCAGGCAUAUCUCCCGAGCUGAGCAGAGCAAUUCAAUGUUCUCUAUCAACUUGGCAAAAAUCCAACUCUGCGGCCGAGAGAAAUCCACUCUCUUCAUUCGUUAGGGUUUAUCACAAGACUCCAUUAGUAGUUGCUAACUAGCUGAUGCUAAAAGAGUCUGAAAACAUUGAAGGGGAAAAGAUAGAAGAAUCAGAAGGCAGAUACAGUAAUAGCUUAUUAGGAAAUCCUGGCAUACCCAGAAGCUGACCAAAAAGAAAAAGACCUGCACAACCGAGAAAUUCCUGCAAUGAACAUUAUCUUACACCUUACAACAUUAUGAUUCCGGAGCUAAUUAAUGCACUAUCACAUUCAUAAAGCAUCAUAGUUGACCCAUGUCAUCUUCGAAAGGAAAAAUGCCAUUACCUGAAAAUUGCCACUGCAAAGUUCAAACUGCAAUGCAAUCGUAUGCUUGUUGCAUCUCGAACACCAUGAGAAAUGGGUACAUGAUCAGAGCAUAAGGGAAUUGGGAUACAACUAACCACUUAACUAUACAAGAUACUAAAGGAACCAUUUAAAUCAUAGUUGACCACUCAUGCAAGCCAUCAAGAAGUUAAAGUCCAAUUUUCUUACAUUUUGACCACUCAUUGAGGCCAUCAAGAAUUCAAGUCCAGUUCUUUUACAUUUUGACUUUGGGCCAGCAUCAUCUUUAGAAUCUGCUUGGAUAAUGAACCUCUACUGAACUCAAAAGGUAAAAAGAUUUCAAGGCCACAAAGUCAAUUUUCUUCUAAAUCUGAUUAUUGCAGUAAAGAUCAUGGAACUUAGACCUUAGUCCGGCAUCACUUUCAGAGUAAAGAAGGCAAGCUCUUUUUAUUUUUUUCCGCAAAAAAUCCAACUGGGUAAAAAUAAUCCAGAAUAACAAAGUCAGUUUGAAGAAGACAAAAAGUGUCUAUGCUGAAAAGAUGCAACAUGUCAGAUGAUUGAGAUGAUGGAAGAGAAUACUAACUCCACAUUGAUAAGGCAUCAACCUCGAUGGAUCGGAUAAGACACAAAAAUAUGUAGUAGUAGAACUAUACCUGACAAAGUAACAUAGCUGACACAUUGAGCAGAGAGAUGAAUGCAGCAAAGUAAUUUUGACAGGUAACUCGAGAAAAACCAUAACCGGAAAAGGAUAAUGCAAAUGCUAAAGAAAAAUGAUGACAAAGUAAUUUUUAUACAAUAAAAGAAACCCAAACAAUCAACAGACAGAGUUGCCAUCAGUAUACACAUUACUGAGGCUAACGCAAUGAGAGAGAAACCAAAACCAAGGAGGAGGAGGAGAAGGGGGAGGAGGAGAUUUUACUCGAGCUGGUAUAAGGAGAUGUCACAUCAUUUAUUAUCUGACAUCAUCUGUGAACCAGUAUUGUGUUUAUGUAAACCUAAAAGCAGUAAUUGACACUUGAAACUAAGUACUCUAUGAUGCAGGAUACUACGGUAAAUGAUUAUAAAUCUAUAACUAAGAACCAAGGAGGAGCACGCAUAAGAAACANNNNNNNNNNNNNNNNNNNNNNNNNNNNNNNNNNNNNNNNNNNNNNNNNNNNNNNNNNNNNNNNNNNNNNNNNNNNNNNNNNNNNNNNNNNNNNNNNNNNUUUAGAAAAGUGGAAAUUGAGGUAGGAAUUUUUCUCCAUGUCAUGAAAAGUUGCAUGCCAAAAGAACCUUUAGACACUUUCAUGCAUUUGGUGAUGAUAUCAAGAGUCUUGAAGAAUGCAAUCAAAUUGAGGUCUAAAGACUUGAUGGAUGUGAGGAAAGAUCCAUUACCGAAGAGGCCUAAUCACAAACCAUUGUUCAGGUCCAAGCCUAAGGAUUGCUUGGAUGCACGACACUAGGGUCACAAAACAAAAGAUAACCUUUAAGUUGCCUAAAACAGAGAGACUAAAACUGGCACUUGUUCUAUACUAAACCAACCUCACGGUUUUCCUAUGCCUCUCCGCCUGUUGUGUCUGUACGCAAGAUUCACCAGUUUCUAGUCAGUUUCAGGUGAAAGGGAAGAGCUCGCUUCCCCCUGCUGUUCCCUCUUAGGUCCAUCUGAGCCAUGAGAUUCAUCACCCCCUCUGGAACUUUCAUCCUUGGAUAGGGUUGCACCAACUGGCAUGGCCAGCUCAGAGUUGAAGCUACAGAACACGGUAACAGCUUUGGGACUUCCAUCGUCAGAUGUAUUUACAGUCUCUGGCAUUGCUUGCUUGGAGUUGUUAUCAAUCCUUUGCGGAUCGUGAAUCUUCAACCUGACAGUAGAAUUUUCACCAUCAUCUUUUGAACCGCUACAUGACCCAGGUGUGUUUUUACUAUCUUCUGAACCACUACCUGGCCCAGAUGUGUCAUGAUCCACAGGUUUGUCAACACAAAUUGGUUCGUCAUGGACAGCACCAUAUGCAGAUUUGCCAGCAAAUCUUCUAGCGGUGGUUUUGGAAAUGCUGGCGGCUCUGCUCCUGGCAUACCAUCAUACAUUUCAGUCGGUAGCUGACCACAUGAAAAACAUAACACAGACCUCAUGAAAGCAUGCAAGCCAACCUUUUUGAGGAUGAAACAGCCUUCGAUUUUUUUUUUGACUCUGACUUGGUUUCAUUUUUCACUUUUUGCAGUCUGGUAACAUAUUGCAAAAGCAAAGCACAGAUCAGACCAUGCAACAAGGAAUCAGAAAAUACCUGUCUACUAACUAUGGGAAAACCAUGAUAUCAGGCUUAUUUAAAGAACUUAAAUGAUAAUCCCUGAACUUACAUAUCAGAUGAAGUACCAGGUUUUGGAACAUCAAUCUCCUGCCCCUGCAAACAUUGUUAGCACAAUUGCGAGACAGAUAAUUACUUCCCGGAAACAGUUCUAGAACAUAAAAGAAGGGAAACUGUGGAGUAUAGAAUGAGGCAAAACACCCACUUGAACUGGAAAGAUACCAUCUUCAAUGAAUUCCCAUCGCUGCUUUUUGAGAUUAAGCUUCUCUUCAUCCCCAUCAGCAUACAGGACCUGAACGAGAAGUCAUCAACAUACAUAUUUUAGAGCUAUGAUAUGAAGAAAUGAAAAUAGAAAAAUUUAUAUCGAUGUUUGGUGAGAUGGUUCGGACUCUAUCAUCCAUAAUGAACCAAUUACUCCAUCAGAAUAAUCUGGAUCCAUUGAUCUUAUAAGAAAAGCUCCAGCAAGCCUAAUAAAAGGUGUCAUUUCUGUCAUAGACACAAGUACUCGUGAUUUAUCACAAACUUUGGCCCUGGGUAUUGCCACAAUUGCUACAGAAAAACCGAACUCCAAGUAGAAGACAGGUUCAAAAAGAUAAUUCCUUCUCCUUCCUUUUUCUAGAUAAGGAGGGAUUACUCAGAGUCACCCACCUUGUGCUUCUUUUUGAUGGGGUCGUAGGAAUCAACAACUCCUUCAUAGAACCUGCAGAACAAGAAAACAAGUACAGAAACUUCAGUAUGGAUGUUCUUUGGAAAGAUCAAUAAUAUAGGUGGUUUAUAAGCUGAGCCCUAAUUCAAAUUUAUGGGGCCAGAAUCUCAGCCAAAGAUAUCUAGUGCAUAUCAAAAUACUUGAUCUACUUUCACUAAACAUAAAAAGCCACAGGCAAGUCAAGCUCUUUCACAAAUCGAUGUUUCUUUCUUUCUUAUUUUUCUGUGCUGAGCUGACAGCAGGUAAUGGUUCAGCACCCACGGAAAGCAUGUUCAAAAGCUCAAAAGACAGUAAACAAAAACAUCAACUUUCUCUGUUAAAGAAAACUUUAGAUACACCAUAUACAGUCAAAAAGGAAACUAAAGCAUGUCAUGCAUAGGUAGAGACAUUGAAAUCAAAGAUCCUCUCUGGUAGAAUAUGACUACUGUCAAAAUCCCUUUCAAUCACCCCUAGUAAGAUUAUAUAAAGAUCAAGGAUCAACAUAAAAAGAACCACCUUGUCCACUUUAUGACUGUAAAUGGUUAGAAUCCUGGUGUGAGACAAAGACAUUAAAUUGACAGCUUGAUCUCUCUUCGGCCAACUUUUGAAUAGUUAUUCCCAUACUAUUAUUAUUCAUGCAGCUAUCAAACCUUGCAUUAUCAUUUCAAGUCUAAUUUUGAGACAAAAACAAACAAGAUGAUGAUGAUGAAUAAAAUUCUCUCAGCCCACUUUCAAAAGCCUAUUCAAGGACCUUAUACUCAGCAUUAAAUAACUCCAGUCUCCACUGUGAGCAUAGAACUUGUAGAAGUCAAUCUGAGACAUCAGAGUACAAAAAGUCACAAGCUCAAUAAGAAUUGGUGAUUGAAGACAAGCAAGCACAAGACAACCAGCAAGACACGACAGGAAAAGUGAGAAAUUCUGGACAUCUAACAAUUUUUUUUUAAAAGAAAAAAAAAAUGAAACUAGAAGUCAGAUAUUCAACUCUCACCUCUUAUCCAUUGGCCACCAAACCUUUAUUUUGCUACCAACCAAUUGCUCACCAAGAUCAGGAGUUCCAGAAAACUGAAUUUUAGAAUAUAGCCAUGUCAAUAAAUUGAAAAAUGACAAAGAUUACAGAAGAUAAUAAGGUGGCAAAAAUAUCUCAAUCUAAAAGCCUGAUGUAUAAGCAUGCUUAAAAGGAAAACAGUUGAAUAAAAAUCACAACAUAAGCAUGUGACAUAUCCCAAGAUGUGUUGUUACGAUUCAAGAGCUUCAGAACAAGCUUCAGCAGUGCUUUCUCACAACAACAAAAAAAAAAUCUAGAUCUCAAAGAUAGUUUUCGAUGUGUGAAAUGAGUUUAUUUGAUGAAUUUGAAAUUCCAAUUACAUUUGACAAUUACGAGAUAAGUUUAAAGCAUUUGUCUGGUUUAUGCCCUAUCUCAAAUGGAGGCUCACAUCAUCCCUGUAAACCACAUGUAUCAACCACCAAUGUUAGACUUAAAAAGAUUUACUAGCAUUUAUUCAUAGUCAAGGCAAACAAUUGGAGUGCUGAUUCAAAAUUAACAUAGCAAUUAGCAAUUACAUUUAACAUCAAAUAUAAAUUUGACUAUUAGUCCAAUAUUUUCACGAUCAUCAAAAAGCAAAAGCAAGCAAAAGCAAGUUAAAAUCUUGUCCGCAGCACAAACAUUCUGAUUGCUGAAGUACAAAAUUGUGCCUUUUUUUUCUUUCAGUUCUGAUAGCCAUUUCUAUUUUCACGCAUUAAGCCAAUAAGGCAAACCAAUCAGAGAUUUAUCUCCCUUCACAAUGGUUAAGCUGGCUUCCCAGUCACAAAUCAGUUUCUGAGAUUGUGACAUAAAGCAUCUCAUAGGACUUUUGAGUUGCAAAACAUUGGGUGGAACAGCUAGAUAUUGCAGCACAGCUUUUUAAACUCAAUUGAUGCAUAGAGUGCGUGCAAUUGAACUGGCAGAAAAACAGAUUUCAACUCCUAUACCCAUCCCCGGGGAAAGAGAUAUAUCAGGAGAAAUGAAGAGCAUAUCAUCAACCUGAUACAGUGAUACUCCUCUCUACACUCAAAAUUUUUCAGCCUUUUUUUAGGGAACAUUUUCAGCAAUUUUAUAGUGUGUGCAAAGUCUGAACAGAGAUAAACUAAUGUAUAGGAAAACCAGUUGAGGUAAAUGUGACAAAGUGGAAAAAUAAAAAUGAAAAACAUGGAAAAGAAAAGAAGGGAAGUCCCAUUGACAAGCUACAAGUUAAUAACAAGAAAUAAGGAAUCCAUACCACUUCCUUCCUUGGAGUACGCUUCCUCUUGAGCUUUGGUUGUGGGGUUUCUUCCAGGUAAGUUCCAUCCAUGUCUAAUGAUUUUUUCUUCUGUACAAUUGGCAAACAUCAGGAUAAAAGAAAAGCUUUAUACAUAACAGAUGUAAAUGCUAGUCAGAUCCUUAUCCAUUCAAUACCUUAUCUCUAAAUGCUUCCCCAACAUCCUCGUCUGAAUUAACAUCCAAAGACUUCUUUUUUGUGCCUGUUGGGACUGAAGUGCGGUGCUUAUUAAAUCUCCUUACUGCAAUCACAACUGGCUGGUGGACAGACUUUUCCUCUGGUUCACUGAGGACCACUGAUUUCUUUGAAGAUACUACACGUCCAGAAGACAGAGAUAUCUUCUUAGGAGUCUUUGAGCCAAGUUCAUUUUUUCUUAUGCGUUUUUGUUUCUUUGCUUCUGAGUCACUUCUUUCUUUAGACUGCUUUCUCAAACUGGCAUCAUCGAAUUCUGGAGCUUUCUCUUCGACCUGAGCACUCAUGCUUUCACGCUUUGACAGCAAUGAAGGACUUGGAUCAGCAUCUUCACUCGUACUGUUUCCCUUUUUCCUUGGCCGGCCUCUUUUAAAAUGACUUUCAGCAGUUAUGUCUUGUUGUGGGGUUAGGGAAGAAGACCUUGAGAUUUUAACAGUUUUGGGGGUAAAUCUUGUAGGUUUUGUCACUUUCACAUGCAUUAAUGACAGAGCUACCUUCUUGGAAUCUGAAGUUUCUGAGGGUAAAUCAUCGUUGCCCUUAUCUUGAAGCUUUUCACGGAGAAGUUUGGUAGUUUUUCUUCCUAUUGAAAACCAAGGAUCAUAGCCUUCUUCUGGAUUCAUCAAAGAAUUAGGUUUCCAGCCCCUUUUACUUGGAACAGACUUUGGCUCCAUUUCUAACAUGACUUCAGGUUCUGCUUUGUCCUGUGCAUUGGUGCUUUUAGAAUGCUCAGUAUGAGAACAAGGCUCUAGCAUAUUUGAAGCAUUAUCCUUUUUAACAGUCCCAGCAUUUCUAGUUGAAGCAGUUCCAUUCCUUGCUAUUGACUUCGGAAUCACAUCCUUACCUUCAAAAACUUCUUUACGACAAGCAGCAUUUGGUGAUAAUCCCUUGGACAUUAGACCAACAGAAAAAUUAAUAUUAAAAAGGAUGCCUAUUUAAAAAUAAGAAAAAAUCCAAAUUGCAGCAAAAGAGCACUGGGCACAAAUGCUACCUUUCAAGUCACGACCACACUUCUAUGAGAAUAAUAAAAAGGUUAUCUCAUCUAUCUCUAACUAGCAUAUGCAACAGUCAUGAGUUUAUUUUCCUCUUUAUUUUAUUUUAUUCAUUUUGCAUGAAAAGUCUAUCAGUCAUAGAUUGAUAACUGAAAUGUCACUAGUAGGGCAAAACAUCUCAUGUGGUCCCUCUACUUCUCAAAUUUGAUCAAAUCAACCAUGUCCCUUAAAUUGGACCAAAUCAACUCCACUUCCAGUUAGAUUUGAGAUCCUCCACUUGAUUACAUCAUAACAAGUGGCAUUUAGCUGGCCAUUUAACUAGUAAUGGAAUUAGAGGAAGGGACUGACAUCACCUUUACUUAGAAAAAAAGGGUUGAUUUGAUCUAUUUUGAAGUAAAAGGUUUGAUUUAGCGAAAUUAAGAAAGUAGGAGGCUGCUUGUGAUUUGUAGCAAAUCACUAGCAGUAUAAGACAGUAAAUGGGCUUCAUCUCACAUCAGAAAAGUAAACGGGUUUUGGAUUCUACAAAGCAGAUAAAAGGGAAACCAAAACUUAUUCUUGAAAAUGAAGUCAGAAAUUAUAUUUAGCAAAAGAAGAGAACUCUGGAUCAGUUUUCCAUCUUAGGUAACAUUUUACAAUUGCAAGACAAGAUCACAAAAAACUCCACUCAAAUCUCAUGCAGUUAUAGACAGGGAUAAGAAACAUACCAAAGGUUCCCCAGAAUGAUUGUUAUAAUCACAUUCGAGUGUGUGAGACUCAUCCUGGAAUAUAGAAGCAACUAUUGGAGCAUAUUCAUCCAAAGGAAUGCCUGUAGACUGCACAGCUUCCUUGAGAUAGGGCUUAAUUUUAGCAGCACAAUUAGUGAUAACUCUUUCCCCAAGCUUCCAUGCUAUAGGAGAAAAACUCUGGAACAAUAGUAUUUGUAGAGUAAAUCUAAUCGAACCUAUCAAGACCAUGAUGGAAAAGAGAAAUAUUUUUGGAUGACACACCUGGUUUUGCUUUUUUACACUCACUAAAAGGAGAGUGAGAAGCUCCAGUGAGAUUUCUUCACUUUCAUCAAUGACCAGGGUCAUAAUUGUUUCCAUGGCCAAGAUUGCAAUUUGUGGAUGAUUGGACCUUGAAGUUGAACAAGAAAAGCCAUCAGUUGUUGAAGAGAGACCAAAAAAAAUCCAGGCAUUUAUAUGAAAGUAAACAGGAAAAGAAAGGCAGAUAGAAAGCCCCAAGCUACCACUGCUUCGACAACAACAAAACAGCACCCAAGCUUCAAUCCCAAACUAGUUGGGGUUGGCUAUAUGGAUCCUUUUCCGACGAUCAUGUACUACCACUGCCUAAAAAAAAUGCUACCAUAUCUUUAUUAUGAAAACUAGAACAGAAACUAUAAAUACAUAGCACAAUGUAUCCCUUGAAGUUAUCAAGAAAAUAGUUUCAUAUAAAUUCUGACACUUUCCACCCUAGCAAGUCCCAAGCUAUGUCCAAUCUUCAAGUGGGUAGGAUGCAUAGCCACAUACAAACAACUCUUGAGUUGCUUCUCAUCCGUAAUAAUCCCUUCUGGGUCUCUUCAACUUCCAACAAGCACAACAACUUUCCUGAUCUUCUUUUCUACAAAGAUUGACAGUAGACCUUUGCAAUCUAAAUUCCAAAUUAGAUCAAGAACAGUUUUCUAAAGGGAGCUAUAUUGAAAUGCAGCAUGAGUUUUAAAUGCUAAAAACUCCACCUGACACGCACACACCAAAAAACAAAACCCUUUAACUUUGUAUGAAACUUUUGAGAAUUUGUAAAAUUUUGCAGAACCAAGAACACAAUUGGAAAAAAUCCUGUCAUGUUCUUACUGUAAACUUCUGACAAUGAAAUUCCAAUAUAAGUAACGAAAGAAUUAUUCAAACCCUGAUUCACUUUAAUUUUAGCUGCUCCAAAACUCUUUUUUUAGAAGUACAAUGUUACACACUAAGAAAAAUUAAAAGUUACAGAAUCUAAUGAGCUGAAAUUACUCGCCAAAUUUGAAUCAUUCUGAACACAAAUUAGUUAAGGAACUCUAUUAUUGAAGGCAAUACAGCCGGUUUGGGGAUUGUAAAUGGGAGAUAGAACAAUACAUGGAAUAGGCAGUAAUUUCUAUAUCUUUCAUAAAAUGACAUAUAAACAUGAGAAGAUAUGAAGCAAAAGUUAAUGAUAAUGACAAGGCUCCCGAGUCCUACCUGAUGAAUUUCAGAAAGUAUUGGAACAUAUCUAAAAUUAGUUCAUCCAACUCCAGGUCCAGCAUCAUCAAGCAUGACCUCACCCUCGCUACAUUCUCAAGAAUUGAAACUGCCUUUGUAUAACAAUGGCCAGACUCAUGGGAUAAUUUUUCAAAAGAUGCUACAGUCAAUUGAAAAAUUUCCUGUUCAUCAUUCGAAAAGCAGACAGCAUAAGAGCCCGAAAAGAAAAAUGUAGGAGCAUAUAAUGAAGAAAUCUUAUUCUGAUCACCCGCACACAUGGAAAUUGAUUUCAGCUGCUAUAAGUACCUUCAUUAGGUCAUCAUUGUAAGGGGCAUCUGGUGCUGUUAUUCUUGUAAUCUCACUCAUGCAAGAUGCAACCGCAACCCUUACAUCUUCGUCCAAGUGCCUCAAAAUGGUACUAGAGAUUAAUGCCUUCAUUGGUGGUAAAAGAGCAUCUUGCAUUGAUCUUGAUGGUGCUUGCUCCACAUUUGUGAGCAAACGCUCCAGUUUCUACAAGACAAAAUGAAACACAAUAACAGCUCGAUCCAUAAGCAAUAAAGAAAUAGUAAAGAAAAAAUAUGACAAUUCUAAAAAAGUGAUAUGAGCCAUACAGAGGUCAUCAAAGGACCAAAUAACCAAGAAAAGAAAAUGACAAAACAAAACGAAAACACCAUUACAGGCUAUAAAGCUCAAAUUACAUGAAUGCCAGUAAGUUUCAUGGAAAAGACCCAUUGAAAAAAAUUCCAAAAUCUGUUAACACAAGCUGGACUUCAUAUAACUCAUCACAGACACACUUCAUGCCAGAUAGCAAUGUCUUUGUAGGAUAACCAUUUUGAUUUGAAUAACUUAAAUAAGAUUUUUCCACCAUUAGUGUCUCAGAAAAGGCAACACAUACACAUCAUCUAGGGCAGAACUUGCUAUCUUUUAUUUACUAAUAACUACAGCACAAGGAAUACUACUUCCCGUUUGCAAUGGUAAGUAUAUUUCACUCCCAGCUACUCCUAUACUAGAAGAGGUAGAAUCAUCCAAAAAAACUUGGGGUGAAAGGGGGGUUGGGGGGGGGGGGACUUAAGGAAACAAAACUCAUAAUAUCCUCAUAAAUUUUCACAAUAGUGAAAACCAGACAAAGAGAUACUCAACGAAGAGGUGGCAAAGGACAAUGGCCAUGAUUCAAGUAUUAUAUCUGAAUAUCCAAAGUUUUAAUGUCAUGAUUGAUAUUUGCAACUCAAAACAUUUUCAAUCUCAGUGAAGAGAAAAAAUGGUAGAGAUCAUUUUUAGGCAAACAGAAAGUUGAAGUGGCUAUUAACAAUCAACUCGAAUGCCCAUUUUAGCAAUUUAAAAUUACAAACUUACAAGACUAAUUAAAGAAAACUCAUGUUGGCCAGCAAUGGUCACGCAACCAUAUUUCCUCAUGCAAGCUAUAGACAAGUUUUUUAGUGUCCCGAGCAAAACUAAGAGUUCAAUUCCAAUGGUUAUUUUCCAAUCAUACCAAAAGAAUAUGCAAUUACCAGUGGCUGCAAAAAUUAUAUGUGAGCAAACCGUGCCAGAUGGAGCAUUCAGAGGUAAUGCCAUGGCUCUGAUAAUAUGAUUUUCACAUGUACUGAAAUAUCAGAGAACAAGAAUAAGAUUGUCUAGUUGCAAGGUCUAGGAGAGAUAUAGGCGUCGGAGACCCAAAUGUUGUCAGUGGUUUCAGGUCCUGCUGGAACUGGAUUGAAUCCAAGUUCAUUGGCUACUGACCCAUCCUAAAAUGCCAUCAACCAUGCCCUUUGGCAAGAGUAUAUGUAUAGUCAUUCUACAACAUCAUACCCCGCAAUAAUAUUACAGAUUAAUGCAGUAUUCCCUUGUACUUUUUUAUGAAGAAACAAGAGUGAAAAUGGAAGAUUCCCCCAAUACAUUGAUCAGGAAAUGAUUAUCCACCAUAAAUUAAUCACUCCCCAAUCAACAAUCCUAACAAUAAACAGCAAAGUCAGGAGAUAUAUUAAUAUUUAUAGAGGGCAUAUAAAGCUAAAUAGAAAUCAGAGAUGAAAUCCAAAAACGACCAAAAUCCAACAAUCAUUAACCAUACAUUGAUAGAUUUCAAAAUCAACACUCCAAUUAACAGGCAUACAAACAAGAAAAUCCCGUAAAAGAAAACUUAAACAGAUACUAAAACCGAGUGAGUUUACACACGACUAGAAAGCAAUCAGAAAGAUGAAGACCAUAUAAGAUGACAACAACAGCAACAGCAAUUUUUUGCAAAAUUGCCAAACAAAAAAUCAUUAAUCCGUGGCAUUCGUCACCAAAAAUACGAAACAUUUAUAUCCAUGCACCAAAUAAUUAAGCCGGACGAAUUAUUCAACAUUCUAAUACAAUAUCAACAAACAUAAAAAAAAAAGGCAAGCGCACAGAGCAAACAUAUAUAAAUAUAUAAAGAGAUGAAAAGGGUGAUGAGACAUUACAUCGAGGGAGUCAAGAAGGUCAUCAACAGAUGAUGGAGGGUUUAAGAGACUAUUUCCAGCCUCUUUAAGCCGUUCUUCAAGCUCAGUCUCACUGUUAGGCAUUUCAACACUCUCUUAAACACAGAAACCAAAAACAAAAUACUCUCACUUUCUCUGAAAAUUCAGAGACUUUUCACCGAAACCCACAUCACAGACAAACAGUAGAGUAGUAUUUACAAAACCCACGGAUGAAAGAAAUCAAACCCGUUUGUUGACUGUUUCGUUUACAACUCUAAAGUCUAAACACAGUUGUCCAUGCAAGCAGGGGUUACCAAAGAGGCAGUUUUUUCCUCUUGGAUUCAACCCGUUAAUUCACUGUGGUUAAAAGAAUGGGGUUUUGGGUUCUGGGGUUUCUCCAUUUCUCUCUUUGUUUUCUUAUUUUAUUUUAUUGUCCUUUUUUUUCCUUCUUUCUUUUUAAUGGUAGUGCAAGAAAAAGAAUAUUUAUCUCAAGGAUAAGUUUAAGUUUGAUGGUUAAAAAGAAUUUAAUUCUUUUUAAUAUUUUAAAUUUAAAUUAUGAAAUUAAUACAUUUUACUUUAUAGAAUGCACUAUAAAAAUACAAAGGAGAAAAAUUUUAAUUUAGUUGCAUGCAAGAAAAUACUUAAGUAUAUGAUUGCUUUGGCAUAUUUUUCAAUUUCAACUUGUAAUCAUUAACAAGUUUAGUCUUCAUAUUUAAUUUGAGGCUAAAUAUUAGAAGCAUGAGUGUUAAUUUUAUUUUUUUAAUAUUAAUUUUUUUUAAUUGUUAUUGGUUUUAGAUCUUUUUAUUUUUAUAUUUUAAAAGUGAUUUUUAAAAAAAUAUAUAUUUUUAUUUACUUCAAAUUAAUAUUUUUUUUGUUGUGUUCAGAUCAUUUUGAUAUGAUGAUAUCAAAAAUAUUUUUUUAAAAAAUAUUAUUUUAAUAUAUUUUUGAGUAAAAAAUAUUUUAAAAAAUAACUAUAAGCGCACUUUCUAACUCGUUCUUAAUCAGGGAGGGUUAUUUGGGCAAAAAAUUAUUAAUGAAAGAAAUUUAAGGCUAUAUUUUUUAUUAGUAUUAUAGAGUAGAAAACAGAUAUAAAAUAAAUAGAAAAGUUUUUUGUUAAAAAAAUAUAAAUAUAAAAUAAUUUUAUUUUUAUAAUAGUUUUGAAAUAAUUUUUACUUUUAACAUAUGGGGAACAGAAAAGACUUUUUUUAUUAUUAUUGUAUCCAUAUGUUUAGGUAAAUUGAGUGAAAAUCACCUAACAAUUCGUAACUUUAUAAACACGUGAUAUUUAAAAAUAAUGCCCGCGUGCACGUGUGUGUAUACACACACGUGAGAUUUGUUUAUUUAUUUAUUUUUCAUACUCCAACUUUUAUUUUGUUAGAAAGCAUUUCAACUCUCUAUCUGUCAUCAAUCAAGUAUUCUAAAAGUACUUUUCUAUUCAGUCGAGUUUUUUUUAUUAAAUUGUAAUGAAGUAUUUGAACUUGCAAAGAUUGAGUGCAUGCUGAAUAUUGUCCAGCCUUCUCUAAAUUUCUAUAAGGUUAGUGAUUGCGAUAAUAUAUAAUAAAGUUUUUCGUGAAAUUAACUUCCAAGAAUUAGUACUUUUAAACAACACUCCUCCUUUAGCGAAAAGACGAUUUCCCUUUCUCCUCUAGAACGAGGUGGGAGAUCUCAGAUUCCCAGCACCAAGAACAACAAGAUGAAUAUAUCUCCUCUGGCAACUGUGACGACGUUACAUCCAUACCGGUGAGUUUUCAUCGACCGUGACAACACAAAGAAUGCUCAUUCAAUGGUAUUGCAUCACUCCCAAUCGUUUUCUUCUUCUCAAUUUCUUGAUUUUUUCUUAUCUCUCCGCUACCUCACCAUCAUAGAUGAGUUGCAAUUCUAAUGGCCAUGGUGAUGGUGUUCCUGGGUUGUCUAAUACGAGCAAAAAAACUGAAGUGCAGAUUCUAAAUAGUGACGAUGAAGGAGGAGGAGGAGAGUGUAAUAUUUAAUGUAAAAUAAUCGGUCACCCCUGCCAGAUUAAUUAUUUGAGCUCAAUUUAAUCUAGUUUCUUUUUGUUAUGAGAGGUCUGGAGAUCUGGGUUUGGGUUAAGAGGGUGGAGGUUAGUUCUUUUUAAUUGAAUGGAAAAGUUAUAAUAUUGAAUAUAGGGAUUUUUCAUUUUUUAAAUAAAAAUAAUGAUAAUUUUAUAAAUAAUUUUAUUGAUUUUUUUUUUUACGCAUUAGAGUGAGGAUAACUCGGCAAACCCAACAGAUUAGGGUUAAGGCAUGUGGACACUGGAUGCCCAUGACAGGGAUUUUAUGGAACUCAAAUCUAAAAUCUCAGAAACUUGAAUAUAAAGAAGAUUAAAAUCGCAAGCAACUUCAAGGCACUCGUGGACAAUCAAAGCAAGAAGUGAAGAAAGCUUGUAAACGCAUGUGUUUCAGCAACAAACAUUAAACUGGUAACUAUCAUGUUCAAAAAACAAUUACGCCUGAUGAGCUACUUCUGCAUGUCAUUUAUUAAUUAAUGUCUUAAAAAUGUGCUAAUUCUGCAUUUCAUAUAUCAAUAAAAAGGUGUUUCGCCACAACAAUUGGAAGCACUUUGAUUAAAGUCCUAGGCAAAUAGAAGACUCAAAACUCCCGGACCAUGAGAUUGAUGACCGGAAAACAUUAAAAAAAAAUCCCAUAGAAUUGCGGGCCAUGGAAACAUGGAGUGAAGGUCUCUACAAAUGAAAUUCAAAUCAGAGCCUGUUAAAUUAGAACUGUUUUGACUCAGUUAGACUUGACAUGUUCCUGAACAACAUUAUAGCCUUCACUUGUCUCACCAUAAUCCUGCAAACCAGCAAGGGAAAAAAUGUUAACCCU
RNAcentral lists this long non-coding RNA (16724 nucleotides) under Populus tremula. Its description in RNAcentral is "long non-coding RNA (PTRE_LNC001944)". The record is from RNAcentral. Lineage: Eukaryota; Viridiplantae; Streptophyta; Magnoliopsida; Malpighiales; Salicaceae.